AUUCCAGCUCCAAUAGCGUAUAUUUAAGUUGUUGCAGUUAAAAAGCUCGUAGUCGGACUUUGGCUGAGAACGGUCGGUCCGCCGUUAGGUGUGCACUGACUGGUCUCAGCUUCCUGGUGAGGAGGUGUGCUUCACGGCCACUUAGUCACCGUGGUUACUUUGAAAAAAUUAGAGUGUUCAAAGCGGGCUUACGCUUGAAUAUAUUAGCAUGGAAUAACACCAUAGGACUCCUGUCCUAUUUCGUUGGUCUCGGGACGGGAGUAAUGAUUAAGAGGGACAGUCAGGGGCACUCGUAUUCCGCCGAGAGAGGUGAAAUUCUCAGACCAGCGGAAGACGAACCACUGCGAAAGCAUUUGCCAAGAAUGUUUUCAUUA
This 374-nucleotide ribosomal RNA is filed under the name Ostreococcus sp. RNAcentral's name for it is "partial small subunit ribosomal RNA". It matches the Rfam family "Eukaryotic small subunit ribosomal RNA", at positions 582 to 975 of the family's 1831-position model. The record is from RNAcentral. Lineage: Eukaryota; Viridiplantae; Chlorophyta; Mamiellophyceae; Mamiellales; Bathycoccaceae.